Molecule: ribosomal RNA, 335 nt
Filed under: Achromobacter sp. ACM04
Lineage: Bacteria; Pseudomonadati; Pseudomonadota; Betaproteobacteria; Burkholderiales; Alcaligenaceae
Description: bacterial SSU rRNA
Rfam family: Bacterial small subunit ribosomal RNA
Source: RNAcentral
AGAUUAAACUGAAGAGUUUGAUCCUGGCUCAGAUUGAACGCUAGCGGGAUGCCUUACACAUGCAAGUCGAACGGCAGCACGGACUUCGGUCUGGUGGCGAGUGGCGAACGGGUGAGUAAUGUAUCGGAACGUGCCCAGUAGCGGGGGAUAACUACGCGAAAGCGUAGCUAAUACCGCAUACGCCCUACGGGGGAAAGCAGGGGAUCGUAAGACCUUGCACUAUUGGAGCGGCCGAUAUCGGAUUAGCUAGUUGGUGGGGUAACGGCUCACCAAGGCGACGAUCCGUAGCUGGUUUGAGAGGACGACCAGCCACACUGGGACUGAGACACGGCCCA